Photinus pyralis (common eastern firefly) is the source of this 674-nucleotide long non-coding RNA. RefSeq lists it as uncharacterized. The record is from RefSeq and is a predicted model, not a curated record. The transcript has 3 exons. NCBI's taxonomy places the organism in Eukaryota, Metazoa, Arthropoda, Insecta, Coleoptera, Lampyridae.
AUCUUAUAAAAUAUACAAUUUUAAUGCGUUUGGAAACAUAAAAAGUAAUUACCUAUCUAGCACGUGUUUCUUAUAAUGUAAUCUGCUUAAAUUACUGGCAAAACCGCAGGGAUAUAGAUGUUAGGUAAAUGUCAUUGAUAUCGGUCAUGUCGUUUAGGGUAUUGGAACUCGACGUCGACGUAUAAAAGGGAUUAGCAGGUAGUAAACUCUUCGUGAGAGGCGCACAUUUUGCUUUAGUUAAUGCUUAGAUGCGCGUUCUUGUUUGUGCUUAAGGAAUUCGUUACUACUACAUUUUGUAUUUUACAAGAUUCGUACUUGCUGUAUAUUUAGAAUGAGGUUGCGGGGUAUUUCAAGAGUAGUGUCUACAAACGAAAAGCGCGUCGCGCUAAAUGAACUCAGGAUUGGCGGCACGCCCGGUCGUAUUAAUAAACUGAACAAUGGUAAACCCCAAUUUGUUAAGAGAAUAGUUGUUGGUAUAUGCGACGUAGGCCGAUCCACAGUCAAUUUGAAUGGGAAUUGAUCAUCUAUCGGGUAUUCUUAAAAGAAAACAUUAAGGUUAGUUAGUAUUUUUUGUUAACUUACCGAUGUAAUGCAUCUUGUAGUUAGCGUUUAAUGUAAAACUUGUAGUUAGAUUAAGUAACGUGUAAUGAAAAUAAAAUGUGUAUUACUCUAUA